This 233-nucleotide ribosomal RNA is filed under the name uncultured bacterium. Its description in RNAcentral is "partial 16S ribosomal RNA". It matches the Rfam family "Bacterial small subunit ribosomal RNA", at positions 794 to 1027 of the family's 1533-position model. The record is from RNAcentral.
UCCACGCUGUAAACGAUGUGCACUAGGUGUUGGGGAUAGGAUCCUCAGUACCGUAGCUAACGCGUUAAGUGCACCGCCUGGGGAGUAUGCCCGCAAGGGUGAAACUCAAAGGAAUUGACGGGGGCCCGCACAAGCGGUGGAGCAUGUGGUUUAAUUCGAUGAUACGCGAGGAACCUUACCAGGGCUUGACAUAAUAAUGACGACAUUGGAGACAAUGUUUUCCCUUCGGGGAC